This 236-nucleotide unclassified non-coding RNA is filed under the name Glomeraceae sp. RNAcentral's name for it is "partial contains 5.8S ribosomal RNA and internal transcribed spacer 2". The stretch from base 1 to 71 matches the Rfam family "5.8S ribosomal RNA", at positions 84 to 154 of the family's 154-position model. The record is from RNAcentral. Lineage: Eukaryota; Fungi; Glomeromycota; Glomeromycetes; Glomerales; Glomeraceae.
GUGAAUCAUCAAAUCUUUGAACGCAAAUUGCACUGUCUGGUAUUCCGGAAAGUAUGCCUGUUUGAGGGUCAGUUAAAUAAAAAUCGGUGUUGUGGCUGCCUUUCGUGGUGACGCGUCGGAUUUGAGUUGUCUUACCUUCGGUUAAGCUUCUUAAAAUUUUGGCAUGAAUUUCGAACGUAUUUAAAUCGUUUACGUACGUUUGAGAUAUCGAAGGGUUAUUAUGUUUGGUCAUUCUC